UACGUAGGCAGCGAGCGUUGUUCGGAGUUACUGGGCGUAAAGAGUGCGUAGGCGGUUUUCUAAGUUUGGUGUGAAAUCUCCCGGCUUAACUGGGAGGGUGCGCCGAAAACUGGAGGGCUUGAGUAUGGGAGAGGUAAGCGGAAUUCCUGGUGUAGCGGUGAAAUGCGUAGAUAUCGAGAGGAACACCAGUGGCGAAGGCGAGUCUCUGGACAUUUCCUAACGCUGAGGCACGAAAGCGUGGGGAGCAAACAGG
This 253-nucleotide ribosomal RNA is filed under the name uncultured bacterium. RNAcentral's name for it is "partial 16S ribosomal RNA". It matches the Rfam family "Bacterial small subunit ribosomal RNA", at positions 524 to 776 of the family's 1533-position model. The record is from RNAcentral.